RNAcentral lists this long non-coding RNA (661 nucleotides) under Capsicum annuum. RNAcentral describes it as "long non-coding RNA (CANN_LNC002809)". Lineage: Eukaryota; Viridiplantae; Streptophyta; Magnoliopsida; Solanales; Solanaceae. The record is from RNAcentral.
GAAGAGGAAGAAGACGUCGAUCUCUUCAGUGGAUCGACCACCAGAUAAACACAAAAAAAAGUCCAAAAUGUCCUCAUCCUCUUCCCGCUCCGGUACUGGCGGAGAGAAAGUGAAGGCUUCUCACAUACUCAUUAAGCAUCAAGAUUCUCGUCGUAAAUCCUCUUGGAAGGAUCCAGAAGGCCGUGUUAUAUCUAACACAGCCAAAGAAGCGGCUGUCUCUCAGCUCAAAUCUCUUCGCGAAGACAUUGUUUCUGGAAAAGCUAAGUUUGAUGAUGUAGCCAAGAGUUAUUCUCACUGUAAUUCAGCUAAACACGGUGGUGAUUUGGGUUAGUAACUGUAACCCUAGCCUCCGGCAGCCCCCCUUUACUUCCGCUUUUUCGCCUUAUGCUGCUCCUGUUUAUGCUUUUUAUUUUGAUUACCGUGGUGUUGGGGCCAGCUUUUGUGCAGCUCAACUCAAUAUACGGGAUACCUGCCACCUUCCUAGUAUUUUACUUAACUCAGUCUACAAGGCUAGUAUAGAUAGGAAAAAAAUCACCUAGCGCUUUUUGUCUCCGCUGAGAUUUGAACCAGAGACCUCGUUGUUCUAACCCACUUCAGUCACCACUUGGCAAUACUAUUUAUGUGUCAUUGUGCGCCAAAUAUGCUUCUUUCAAACCAUCGG